Molecule: long non-coding RNA, 9141 nt
Organism: Gallus gallus (chicken)
Lineage: Eukaryota; Metazoa; Chordata; Aves; Galliformes; Phasianidae
Source: Ensembl
GGGAGGCCCAAGCAGCGAGCACAUGCCAUAACCUGCUGGAGGGGCAGGUCCUGGCUCCACACUUCACACGUGAGAUAAAAUGUAAGCUCAUACCAACCUCUGAGCACAAGCAAACGGAUGCAGCGCAUCAGCCAGGUGGGUACUCCUAUACUAAUUACUGUGUUUGCGUAUCAGCUUAUGUUCUUUGUGUCACACUAUAAGAACUUAGGAAAUGUGUGCCACUGUGGUUGGAGGUGGUUGUCUCUCAGCGAAGAUGUGAGAACCCUAUGGGCAUGUAUGGCAAAUGCAAAAUGAAAUGGGUUAGUUCCUUUCACGUCUGAAAGUCAUCUUGCUUUGCAGUUCAAGAGACUGAGAGCUUACAUGCGGCCAGUGACUCUGUCCCAGCUAAAAUAUACUUCUCUGCUGAGAAGUGGUAACAUUUCCAGCCAUUCUAAUGUGGUUAUAAGGAUAAGUCUGGUCAUGCCCUCAUAUGUCUCUCUUUGCUUUAUCUGGUUAAGGCAGUGCCCCUUUCAGAAUGAAGGCAAGCAAUGUGACAUUUCAGGUACUACAGCAAUCUUAAUUGCAAGUCAUUCUAGUAGCGGAGGUGACUAAUGUAAUAAAUACGCACACAUGCAUCGAUACAGACAGCACUCAUUGCAAAAAUGACUGCCAGUCAUUUCUCUAACCAGAAUGUACUAUGAUGUGUACUCUGCUGUUGAAGUUUUAGUGGUGCUUCUGAAUGCCAUACAGCUGGGCCCCACUCUUAAAAAUAGCAGCGAGAUAUGAAUAAGUGCUGUUUGGUUCAGCAGGAAAGAAGAAAACAUCACCUCAGUAGGAACAGAUGAGUCUGGUUAGGUUUUAUGUCUCUUGCUGAAAAACUGCAAAGGAAUAGCUGUAUUUCACAGUGAAAAUUGCAUUUAAUUGAAAGCAAAACAUUCAAGCACCCAAAAGAGAAGUGAGAAGAAGGGAUCCCACUCACAGGGGGAUAGUGGAGCUGAGAGGCUGUCCCUCUAGUCUGGUGGCCAACGGGGCACAGUCCUGUGAGGUUCUGGGGAAGGAGUGGGCUCAAUGAGUGAAAGAUGCUAACACGACCCAGACACUCUGCAACAUUAAACACUUAAAAAGGUUUGGGGUUUUGAAUACAGAGACCUCAGCCUACUUGGUUACCAUGGCAAACAAUCACCAAUAGAAGUCUUUUAAUCUUUAAUUAAAGAUACACAAAAAAGGAGAAAAAACAGUUUAAGCACUUGAAAAAUAAGACUUUAUGCUUUAAAAGUGUCCAUUAUCCCUCUUCCCUUAGCUGUCAACAGUUUUUGUAGCAGUGCUUCCCUCCCUUUAUUUAAGGUCAUAGCAGCACUCACUGUUUUUUGGGAGACACUCAUUGAGAUAGACUGGAUCUGCUGUUAGUACUCAUUUUGGGAUUCUGCUUUGCUCAUUUGAAGACACAGGCAUGCAGGAGGGGAGAGGAAAGGAGAGCAAAGACAAAAAUUAUUACUUCCUCUUCAGGUGUUGACUUUUACUUGCAGCCUCACUGCUAGAAAAAGACAAGCACAACACAUGGACUUAUCAGCCCCUCUCUGAUCAAGGGGAUUUAUAUCAGCGUCUGUCUCAUUUAGACAUUGCUUUUGGUUGUCUCCUUGAUUGCAGUUCACAGCUGUGUUGUACAACCCGUACCCUCCUAUCUAGGAUAGUUUGAUUAAAAGGAAGGUAAAAGAAAGAAAAGGCAGAGAAGCAUGUGAAAAGACUGCAAAGCUACUGAGAGAAGGGUGGCUUCAGGACCCCAAGUCUUCCCUUCCAAGUGGGUUUCCAGGACUGCACUGAAAUUGGUGGACAUAGCGAUGACUCCCAUGUAUCUCCUCACCAGAAACUCACCAGAAGGUCUGACCAGAUCAAGUAAGUGUAGAAUCAUAGAAUCACAAAGGUUGAAAAACACCCACAGGAUCAUCCAGUCCAACCAUUCACCUGUCACCAGUGGUUCUCACUAAACCAUGUCCUUCAACACAACGUCCAAAUGUUCCUUGAAAUACCAACAGUGUCACAGCAGAGACUUAGAUCUCGAAGUUGACAACGACAGCUGUCAGCAUUUCUCCUUUCUGUCCACCUAUUCUAGGAUCAGUAUCAAAAUGGAUGUACCCCAGAGGAUGAUGUACAUGCCACCAGUCACCAGUUGGCUUUAGCUCCUGGCACAUGAGUUUUGGUCCAUUGAUUUUGGCAUUUAUCUUGUACAUCAGGCCUGAUGUCAGCACAGUCCUUGGUUAAUAUUAGGAAGACUUUCUGAUUGAACUAAUUUGGUCUUCCCAUCUUUAACUUGUGCUGACUUCUCCAAGUAAUUUUCUCCAGCAGACUGAGCUGCACUUUCUCACCUCUGUGAACUUUAGCACAUGCGUUUGCCUGAUGUGCUCGCGUAGGAUGUUCAAUGCCCUCUUCUGCUUCCCUGUCUACCCUUCUUCUUUUCCAGGAGAAUACCACAGUCACAAGAGCAGGGGUACCCUGGGAGAGGCUCUGCCAAUGGCACUUUCAUAUUCCUUAGUAGCGCAGUACUCAUUAGCACAGACUGGGGAAGCCAGGUGAAUUGUGUCCAUGAGUGUCUCUACUGGGGUCUGGAAAGACCUUCCGCACAGAUCAGGACACAUAAGUGGUGAGGAGUAAGAACAACCCACCUUAGUAUGCAGCACAGCACAACCUUAUGGCAUUCUCUUGGGAGAUAAGUGAUGCUGGUUCUAGUUCCCCCAGGCAGAGGAGGAAAUUAAACCCAGGACUCCCACAUCCUUUAUGAGCGAAUAAAAAGUGGCUGUCUUCCUCUCAGCUUUGUGAAUAUAAUCGUGAUAUUUUCUUCCGGGGAAUCAAUUUGGUAAGUCCACGCUGAAUUCAACAAUCAUUUUGGGACAAUGGAAAAAAAAGCAAACAUUUUUCAAUGAGAAGGAUGCUGGCUAAAAAAACAUUCUAUUGACUGUAGUGGCAGUACAACAACCAGACAGACCCCAUCACUCUGCCACUUUAUAUCCAGCAGCUGUAGGACAGGAAACUCUCAUACUUGCAGACAGCGGAGGAACUUACCUGGCAAUGUGAAAUCUUGCUAGGAAAAAAGGGUUGUGCGGGAGUAAUGAAAUCCUCUGGGAAUGGCAGAUGAAACCUGAACACCGGUGGGACUGCCUUGAGUUCUGACACAAUUACCACAGUGCAUAAGAAAAACCUGCAAAGAACAGGCUCACUCCGAGGGCUGAGAUGUGACCAGUGUCCCAGUUAUUAUUAGCUACUAAAGGUCUGAAAAGGUUCAAACUCCAUCUUUGUAGGAAUUCAAACAGAGGGAUGCAUGAGGCCUUGCUGACGGCUUCCAGACUGAAAAAGAAAGCGGAGGGAAAAGGGGCAUUUCUCUGACCUUCCUCGGUGAUUGCUCAGAACUGUGUCUACUGAUGGCCGUGUCCAACACCGACAAGAAGAGGCAAGAGAAGUCAAAAUCUGAGGAGUGAGAUGUUCUGCUAGCACAGAAAAGCCACCUGGAGAAACAAAAACAAAUGUCACACAGCUGCGAGUGGGAGAAAUGCUAUUGUUUUCCUGGUAGCCCGUCCUUCCAGUCUUCUGAGAGAAGCGGGUACAAAGGAGGGGGAAUUGUUACAGUUACUGUGGUAACACAACUGGAGAACCAGCCUAAGAGUGAAGAGACUCAGGACAACAGAAUGAAUCGAUCGCGUUGUACCAUGAAGCAGAUGGUCCUGAUGAAGGGGAAGGAGGAUUUGACCCUCACUGAGUGAAGGAGUUGCUGAUUUAGUCAAGUCAAGAACAGGAUGCGACGCUUUGGUCUAGUGCAUUGACAUUUGCAUCUCUGAGUGAGAAUGCUUAUUUUCAUUGGAGGAACAGCAAGACUGCCUUUUGAAACAUUUAAAGAGAGUCGGAAACUGUGUAGCUGUGAGGCCUUGAUUGGAGGGAGCAAGUCCACUGAAGUGUGCUCUUCCUACAACAACUUGACUGCUGGAGAGUGGGCACAGAAGAGUUUGAGUCUACAGCAAUUACUUGUGUGAGUAAUCCCUGAGUAAUUCCGAGAGGAUUUACCUGUCUGACUAAGGGCCCUCAGAAUAUCACCAAACCCUUCGAUAUAUACUCUGAAAACAUAUUUGGCCCAUUGCUUCCUCAAGGACUUUCAAGGGCACAAGAGGAGGUUUACCUUAAUUAACAUCCCUUCAACAUUGUAGACAAUGGGUUCAUCUCUUGGCUAUACAACAGAGGAAUGUUGAAAACAAUAUCUGUUCAUCGUGAAAUCAUGUUCUCCCAGCUACCUGCUACAGAGGUGAAAGCAGGCACUGUCAAAUACCACUGAAGAAAUUUAAUCUUUCCCUGCUAGCAAAUUCUGAAAAGGCAAAUAACAUUUUCAUAGUUUGUUUACUCAUUUGUUCCUUAAAAGAGGCAAAGGAAUCUGUGAAUCAGAAGAAUUUCCAUCUCAAAAAUUGCUUUGGCAACCAGUGGCUUGUAAUUUAAGAUUAAGUGAUUGAAUUUCAUGCAGCCUUGCUUAAAAUUCACUACUCCACAUGCUGUCACCACACAUUUUUUAAAAAAAAUCUAACAAGAAACCCCAAACAUCUAUAACGUUACUACAAGUCAGUCAAAAAAUGUCCAAUCAUCUGGGAGGUGACAAAACGUGCUUAAUGAAGAUGUAGUCUGCAUGACUGCUGGAUUUUUCCCCUUGUAGCGUUCACAGCCUAUCAGAGAGUUCCCAUUCCCAUGCAGUGCUGGUGCUGGGCUCACUUCAAUCAGGCUGCACAAAUCAGUGGAGCAGAAAUGCCUCUUUCCCUCCAUCACCUGAAGCCAAUGCUGAUUCAUCCGUUCAGACCCAUUCCUUCUGCCACUCCUCUGAGUUUACUGAUUGCUGAUUCAUUUUUCCCCCUCCUUUUUUUCCCCCACCUCGUACUAAGCAUCCCGUGUUGAGUUCAACACACUUCGUUUCCAGGUCUGACUGAAAGGGAAUAUGGAAAUUAAUUGGCUCAGACUGCUAGCAGCCUUUUGCACGUGCCUGUACUCCGUGAGAGGUGCAGUGCAAUUGCCUUUCCACUGUAGCUCCUUAUCAGCCACCUGUCUCCUUGCGUGUGUUUCCUUGGCUGCUCUCAGUCUGGGUGCUGGAGAUGGAUGUCCCCUUCCUCUCCCUGUUCUGCAAAAGGGAGGGCAGCUGGCAGGGCUGUCCUUGUGAGGGCUGAAGCUGUCCUCGUUUGACUUAAAAUAGGACAGAUUUAGUGAAUUCUCCAGCUUGUGGUAAAUAGCGUGUGACUGGUGCUUUGGUGAGGGCUGCAGAGAUGCUGUACAGCACAGUGGAACUUCUGCUGAAAUGUUUAUUUGUUGUCUCUGCUGGACGCAGGUCCUGGCUGAAAGAAAGCAGCUGAGGUAUGUCCCUUGGCCAUGAGAGGAGGGUACCAGGAUCCUUGCAAGUUGGAAUACAAUCUGGCUCUGCAGCUACGCUCCAUCUCAAACAUUUUCAUGCCUAGGUUUCUAUCUUCCAUUGGUUUCAUACUGAAUUUUCUCAUGGAGCUUCCUCCCGACUGCAGAGAAUUUGGGUUUCCCUGGUGAAGUCUCCCUGUGUCUUUGAUGCUGGAGUGCUGUUGCUAGCAUUGCAGAAGUCCCACUGUCCCAUGCAGAGCACUGUACAGGUAUUUUUUUGAGGAGCUGCCCCACAUUCCUGUGGAGCUUUUCCAUCUCUGUGAAAAAAAGCUGGGGAGAAGGGAGGCCUUAUCUCCAUGUUGUGCAUGGGUGAGGUCCGAAAAAGGGCUAGGCGGGACAGAGAGGCCAGGAGCACAUAUAUAGGAGGGGACAGGAGUGGAGGCCCACAGCUUGGAGACACACAACCGCCGGAGGGCUCUGGGAGUGCCCCAGCACUUGCUAGGGGGCAGCGGGCUCCUUUGAAGAGUGAGUGGUGCAAGACCCAGCCUGACUCAGUCACCCUUGGCAUCAUCCCUUGCAUCCUCAUUUCUGCAGGCUGAUGGUGUGUGCCUUGCUAGGGCCCUGGGCUUCUACUCAUUCAUGUUUGUAGGAACCCGGAGGAUGACUCAGAUUAUUACAGCACUGUAGAUCUGAUGCUGUCUGUGAUGUCUCUGGCAUGAUGCCCAUCUUUCCCUUCUGUGUUUGAACAAUCUCUUGCUCAAGGAGCCCUGGCCUGAUAGAAGGACUACCUCCUAUUAUUAACACAGUAGCAAGAAAUGAAAGGGCAGGCACAUUUGUAUGUGGUAUAAUUUAUGCAGAAGACAUGAUCUCAGGCACAGUGGAUGACAAAACCAAACGAGAAACUUUUCUUCUAGUUUUAUCACAGUUUCUCCCAGAACCUCUGCUGUAUGCAUUCUGGAAAUUUACAGGAUGAAGGAUUUUGUCAUGAUAUCUAGUUCUAAUCUGAAGUGAUUUACUGUUAAGUUGAAAAUCAAGCCUGUACGUAUCCCCCUCCAAGUGGUUUCUAUGACAGUUUCUAUUAACCAUAAAAAUGUCACUUGCUAGGAAGUAUCAGCCUUCUUGUAGGCUUUGCAAUCAUUGCUACCAGAUGCACACUUACUGAAUGGAAUAAAUAUUCUUGUACAAUUAGCCUGGCAUGCAGGACAUGUCUGGCUAUCUCUCUUGCCUCCAAAGUGAAGUUUUCAAAAGCAAACCCGUAUAUCAAGAGAUGAGAUCUAUCUGGAUUUUCUGAAGUUCUUCAGAUCUUGCAGUGUUAUGAUGCUUUAUGGAUAAAGCAUGGUGGUGUGUAAACUUAGGCUAAGUUUUCUUCAUUUUAAUCUGUAUAAGCAACUGAAAUAUUCAUUUUUCAUUGUUUUGAUCAAGUGGAAAAAAAUAUUUGAUGUCUAUUCUGUGAUUUAAAAUGUAUUUUGAAAUACACUAAUGGCUCUGUGGCAUUUCCUGCUGUUGCACAAUCACGGUGAAGCUGGUACUGUCUGGAUGCGCCAUACACACUUUGCCCCUACCUACCCGUUAAGGAAAUGACACACAAAGCCUUCCUUAAGACUGGGGGGUGGUGAUGACUUCUUCCAUAUGUGGGAUGUGUUAGCAGUGUUGAGACACUGAUUUGAGCUAACCUUGUCUUCAGGUAUGAGCUGAAAUGGGAGUCUGGGUUUGCGUAAUGCGCUGUCAGGGAUCUUAUCCAUUACACUCAAGGUUUUGGUGAGGAACUCAAGAAAUCAGCCUGAAUAAUGGAAAAGGCAUUUGAUCGGCUGCUCUCAUGAUGUGUCUGCCAUUGAAACCACACUCUGGAGAGGAGUCAGAGGCUGGACCUCCACUGCUGUGUUUGAAUCUGAAGAUGGAAAUGGAGGGUGCUGCAGAGCUGAGCUGGUGGACUCGGACUGUGAGAGAUACAUUACCCUUGCAGCAGAGGAAGCAUUGUGGCAGAAGAAGCAAGAGGCCCUGUCACCUUCAUCUGCUUACAGGAUAAGGUCACAUUCUGCUCUUUUUUUGCACCAGUCUAACCACUGAAGACACUGGAUGUGGGCUUGUGUGUGUUGGGGAAAAUACUACUGUGCUGCAGUUUGCAGCUGGCGCAACGAAUGGAGAUAAAAGCAAAUUCUACAGAGCAUCUGGCUCACUUGGUGAAGUGAGCUUAGAGCCUGGAUGCUUCUGAUACAGCAAGGUGGAAAGUAAAGAACCUAGUCCCAUUUCCAGAGUAGGGAGAGGUUUUGAAAGUAGCAGCUCUGAGGAGGCACACGGACUGUGGCUUCAAAAAGGGCUGUAACUAUGCACGAGCUCCAAUAGUUAUUCUGGUGUGAAUGAGAGCAGAUGAACUCCUGCAUCCGCUCAUAAUGUGAGCAGAGCCAUGCCAUCAGUGCAGGAAGCUGUAUGUGGGCGCAAGUGCGAGUUGAUGUGCUGCUCUAGGCAGUGCUCAUGGGAGGAGAUAAGGUAGACAGCAGAAGGGUUUAGCUCCUUCUCUGCUCUUUGUCUGCUUUGCAAAGGCUAUUGCGAAAGCAGAAGGAGUUUAAAAAUGUCUGGAAUAAUGAUUUGCAAUCUGUCAAACCUGCUCUGUAAGGAGAAGCUGAAGAAACUCAUUCUAUGAAGCUUAAGAAAAGAAAUAUCUUAAAGUAUGACUUGACUUCAGCACAGGCAGGGGGAACGUAUUUCUGAGACUAGUGGGCCCUUUGUCUUUUAUCCAUCACAUACGUAUGAAUUCCAGAGCUAAAAGCUUCUGUGCACCCCUCACCCGUGGAAUUCAGAAAUAAAAGUUGCAAAACAGAAUAUUAUACCAUUCCAAAUACUGUUGUUGGAAGGAAAAGCGCAUGUGGUCUGCUUGUACCUGCAGAAUCCGUGAUGAAGACCGAAAGUUUUCCUCUUCUGGAAACACUGUUCACUGUUUUUUCACAUGAUAGAAUUGGCUUGAAGUGAUUCCACUGUCCCUCAAAGUCUUGUGAAAACAGAAAGCAUACUAUACUAGCAUGAGAAAAGACGAUGCUCACAGAUCUCUAAGAAGCAAAAAAGCAACAGAUAUUCUCUGUGGGAUGAGCUGCUUUUUCACUGCAGCAUUAACACAUGCACUUUGGAGACUCUCAUCUUGGCCAGCAGCUGAGCAUGCUCUUGCAUUAUAUCCAAUGGCUCAGGAGCAAAAGCACUGGCUUUUAUUCAGCACCGUGUUGCUCCAAAAUCAAUGCCAGCUAAGCAUUUUCACUGCUAACAAACUGAACAUCUUCAUGGAUAUUAUUUGGAAUAAAAUGGGAUAGGUGGCACUGGAGGGCUCUGAUGGCCAUGAAUUCUCCAAGCUGUGAGCCCUUCUUUCCUGACAGUCAGAUGAUAGAGAGGACAAAAGUAAUUUUUGCAUGUUUUCAUCCCUGCCAUCUUUCAUGUGGCUCUUAAAUGGCUGAAUGUCAGCAGAAAAACAAUGACUUAGCAAGGACUUUGUGUGGAUAGAUCUAAAGAGCGGGAUUUGCAGGCCACACUGAAAUAAUGUAUUGCAUUUUCAAAUCUUAGUUCAGUGAAAGCUUGGAAAUUAACUGGGCCGGUUGGUAAGUGGCCUUUUCCGUAUUUCAGAGUGAUAGCAGAUACACACAUGCACGCUGUGUGCAAAGGCCCUUGCUGAAAAAUGUAAGGUUGAGCUAAUAUGCCUGACAGGUGCCAGACUGGUAUAGAUGGGAAGUAAAGACUCUCAUCUUCUUCUCAGGAAGAGCGGGGAGGCAGUGGCACAGGCUGCCCAGGGAGGUGGUGGAGUCACCGUCCCUGUAG